This 452-nucleotide ribosomal RNA is filed under the name uncultured bacterium. Its description in RNAcentral is "bacterial SSU rRNA". It matches the Rfam family "Bacterial small subunit ribosomal RNA", at positions 29 to 526 of the family's 1533-position model. The record is from RNAcentral.
AACGAACGCUGGCGGCAGGCUUAACACAUGCAAGUCGAGCGGACCCUUCGGGGUCAGCGGCGGACGGGUGAGUAACGCGUGGGAACGUGCCCUUUGGUUCGGAAUAGCCCUGGGAAACUGGGAGUAAUGCCGGAUAAGCUCUACGGAGGAAAGAUUUAUCGCCAAAGGAUCGGCCCGCGUUGGAUUAGGUAGUUGGUGGGGUAACGGCCUACCAAGCCGACGAUCCAUAGCUGGUUUGAGAGGAUGAUCAGCCACACUGGGACUGAGACACGGCCCAGACUCCUACGGGAGGCAGCAGUGGGGAAUCUUGGACAAUGGGGGAAACCCUGAUCCAGCCAUGCCGCGUGAUCGAUGAAGGCCUUAGGGUUGUAAAGAUCUUUCAGCGAGGAAGAUAAUGACGGUACUCGCAGAAGAAGCCCCGGCUAACUCCGUGCCAGCCGCCGCGGUAAAAC